AUGAACCAAACGUCGAGUUAAGGGGCCUCAACGAAUGCUCAUUCAGAUCCCAUCGAAAGGUGUUGGUUGCUAUAGACAGCAGGACGGUGGCCAUGGAAGUUGGAACCCGCUAAGGAGUGUGUAACAACUCACCUGCCGAAGCAACUAGCCCUUAAAAUGGUAUGGCGCUGAAGCAUUCUCCCGAUACUCGGCCGCCGGGGCACUACCGGCCUGGCUCCUGCCAGGUCUCGACGCCCCGGCGAGUAGGAGGGUCGCGGUGGUGUGCGCUGAAGGGUUCGGCGUGAGCCGGCCUGGAGCCUCCACUGGUGCAGAUCUUGGUGGUAGUAGCAAAUAAUCGAGAGAGACUCCCUCGAAGGCCGAAGUGGAGAAGGGUUCCA
RNAcentral lists this ribosomal RNA (377 nucleotides) under Justitia longimana. Its description in RNAcentral is "eukaryotic LSU rRNA". It matches the Rfam family "Eukaryotic large subunit ribosomal RNA", at positions 1163 to 1511 of the family's 3401-position model. Lineage: Eukaryota; Metazoa; Arthropoda; Malacostraca; Decapoda; Palinuridae. The record is from RNAcentral.